This 366-nucleotide ribosomal RNA is filed under the name uncultured bacterium. RNAcentral describes it as "partial 16S ribosomal RNA". It matches the Rfam family "Bacterial small subunit ribosomal RNA", at positions 338 to 696 of the family's 1533-position model. The record is from RNAcentral.
CCUACGGGAGGCAGCAGUAGGGAAUCUUCCACAAUGGGCGAAAGCCUGAUGGAGCAACGCCGCGUGGGUGAAGAAGGUCCUCUGAUCGUAAAACCCUGUUUUUAGAGAAGAAAGUGCGUGAGAGUAACUGUUCACGUUUCGACGGUAUCUAACCAGAAAGCCACGGCUAACUACGUGCCCCCAGCCGCGGCAAUACGUAGGUGGCAAGCGUUAUCCGGUUUUAUUUGGCGUGAAGGGAUCGGAGGCGGUCUGUUAAGUCUGAUGUGAAGGCCUUGGGCUUAACCGGAGUAGUGACUUGGAAACGGGGAGACUUGAGUGCAGAAGAGGAGAGUGGAACGCGAGGUGUAGCGGUGAAAUGCGUAGAUA